This 632-nucleotide ribosomal RNA is filed under the name Desulfovibrio sp. PR2_E09. RNAcentral's name for it is "bacterial SSU rRNA". It matches the Rfam family "Bacterial small subunit ribosomal RNA", at positions 96 to 708 of the family's 1533-position model. The record is from RNAcentral. Lineage: Bacteria; Pseudomonadati; Thermodesulfobacteriota; Desulfovibrionia; Desulfovibrionales; Desulfovibrionaceae.
CGGCGCACGGGUGAGUAACGCGUGGAUAAUCUGCCCUGAAGAUCGGGAUAACAGCUGGAAACGACUGCUAAUACCGUAUAAUCUGCAUAUUUAACUUUAUGUGGGAAAGGUGGCCUCUAUUUAUAAGCUACCGCUUUUGGAUGAGUCCGCGUCUCAUUAGCUUGUUGGUAGGGUAAUGGCCUACCAAGGCAACGAUGAGUAGCUGGUCUGAGAGGAUGAUCAGCCACACUGGGACUGAAACACGGCCCAGACUCCUACGGGAGGCAGCAGUGGGGAAUAUUGCGCAAUGGGGGAAACCCUGACGCAGCGACGCCGCGUGUAGGAAGAAGGCCUUCGGGUCGUAAACUACUGUCAAGAGGGAAGAAACUGUUAGGCAUUAAUACGGCCUUUCACUGACGGUACCUCUAGAGGAAGCACCGGCUAACUCCGUGCCAGCAGCCGCGGUAAUACGGAGGGUGCAAGCGUUAAUCGGAAUCACUGGGCGUAAAGCGUGCGUAGGCGGCGCAACAAGUCAGGCGUGAAAGCCCUCGGCUCAACCGAGGAAUUGCGUUUGAAACUGUUGUGCUAGAGUCUUGGAGAGGUUGGCGGAAUUCCAGGUGUAGGAGUGAAAUCCGUAGAUAUCUGGAGGAACA